ACUAACCCAGGAAGAGGAACCGAUCCCCCCCCCAAAGCCUUCCACAAACACAACUCAGAGGACCGGCACGCUGGCCUGGGCAGGAGAGUGCGUGCCAGGCUCAGGCUCCUCCCGGGGUCCAGCCUGGGGGUGCGGAGCCAGAGAUUGCAAUAUCUGACCCGGCUGACUCAUGCACCGGAAGCCUUGCCCGAAUCAAAGCGGACGUGAAGCAUCCAGCAAGCUGGAAUAGGAUCCCCGGCGGCAGAAGCAGCAGCAAGGGCCGCAGCAGGCAUCCCCCAGAGACAUCUCCUCUUGAAAAAGUAUCUUCGGAGGAAUCUUCAAGGAAACCAUUCAACAGCGGAGAGGCUCUGCUUGAAAUAGUUGUCGCCCGUCCCCGUGACACCAGUUCAGCUCCUCUCUCCUGCCUCUGAGAGACCCAGCUCCUAGCGGCUGCCUGCACUCCCUGGACCGUGGUCUUGCAUCAUUCUGACCUUUGCUUCCCUCGUCACGUCUCCUUCUCUGACUUUGACCCUCCUGCCUUCCUUAUAAGGACCCUACCUUCCCUGAUGGAUAAUCUUGGGGAAGCCAAUGGCGCUUUUGCCAUCAACUUAUUAAAAAUGUUGGGAGAAGAGGAC
Long non-coding RNA from Hipposideros armiger (great roundleaf bat), 614 nucleotides. RefSeq lists it as uncharacterized. Lineage: Eukaryota; Metazoa; Chordata; Mammalia; Chiroptera; Hipposideridae. The record is from RefSeq and is a predicted model, not a curated record. The transcript is spliced from 4 exons.